UUUCUGCAGGAUAUCCAAC
RNAcentral lists this small nuclear RNA (19 nucleotides) under Arabidopsis thaliana (thale cress). Its description in RNAcentral is "snRNA_01340". Lineage: Eukaryota; Viridiplantae; Streptophyta; Magnoliopsida; Brassicales; Brassicaceae. The record is from RNAcentral.